Molecule: ribosomal RNA, 549 nt
Filed under: uncultured bacterium
Lineage: Bacteria
Description: bacterial SSU rRNA
Rfam family: Bacterial small subunit ribosomal RNA
Source: RNAcentral
GGGGAAUCUUCCGCAAUGGACGAAAGUCUGACGGAGCAACGCCGCGUGAGUGAUGACGGCCUUCGGGUUGUAAGGCUCUGUUAAUCGGGACGAAAGGUCUUCUUGCGAAUAGUUAGAAGAAUUGACGGUACCGGAAUAGAAAGCCACGGCUAACUACGUGCCAGCAGCCGCGGUAAUACGUAGGUGGCAAGCGUUGUCCGGAAUUAUUGGGCGUAAAGCGCGCGCAGGCGGAUUGGUCAGUCUGUCUUAAAAGUUCGGGGCUUAACCCCGUGAUGGGAUGGAAACUGCCAAUCUAGAGUAUCGGAGAGGAAAGUGGAAUUCCUAGUGUAGCGGUGAAAUGCGUAGAUAUUAGGAAGAACACCAGUGGCGAAGGCGACUUUCUGGACGAAAACUGACGCUGAGGCGCGAAAGCCAGGGGAGCGAACGGGAUUAGAUACCCCGGUAGUCCUGGCCGUAAACGAUGGGUACUAGGUGUAGGAGGUAUCGACCCCUUCUGUGCCGGAGUUAACGCAAUAAGUACCCCGCCUGGGGAGUACGACCGCAAGGUUA